Molecule: long non-coding RNA, 353 nt
Organism: Belonocnema kinseyi
Lineage: Eukaryota; Metazoa; Arthropoda; Insecta; Hymenoptera; Cynipidae
Exons: 3
Source: RefSeq, a predicted model, not a curated record
GUUAAUUUCUAACCAAUACAAUCUAAUGUUUAGGCAUGUAGUAGUUAUUUUAACCAAAAAAUAUUAAAUUUCUACAGAAAGAGAUGCGUUAUUAAGUCAAGAGGACGAUUGUUGAACAAAAUGGAGCAUGCAACAAUUUUAGAUUUUUGGUUUUUGUCACUGAUGAUCUAAAACUCACCGAUUGAAAGUGUUUGCCAAAUGAUUGCAAGUUCAAUUCCUCUUCUCAAGGAGGGAUAAUCUAAGUUUUUGCAGGAAGCUGCCCGAAAAAGAAGAACCUUUCUUACUGGAAAUGAACUCCAAAUUAUCAAUUAUUCCAAAGGAACCCAAGGUAAUAGUUCCAACAGAGAUUUAUU